GACAGAGGUGCCGAGCGUUACUCGGAAUUACUGGGCGUAAAGCGUGCGUAGGUGGUUCGUUAAGUCUGAUGUGAAAGCCCCGGGCUCAACCUGGGAACUGCAUUGGAUACUGGCGAUCUGGAGUGCGGUAGAGGGUGGCGGAAUUCCCGGUGUAGCAGUGAAAUGCGUAGAUAUCGGGAGGAACAUCCGUGGCGAAGGCGGCCACCUGGACCAGCACUGACACUGAGGCACGAAAGCGUGGGGAGCAAACAGG
Molecule: ribosomal RNA, 253 nt
Filed under: uncultured bacterium
Lineage: Bacteria
Description: partial 16S ribosomal RNA
Rfam family: Bacterial small subunit ribosomal RNA
Source: RNAcentral